AUUGAACGCUGGCGGCAGGCCUAACACAUGCAAGUCGAGCGGUAGAGAGGUGCUUGCAUCUCUUGAGAGCGGCGGACGGGUGAGUAAUUUUGCCUAGGAAUCUGCCUAGUGGUGGGGGAUAACGUUCGGAAACGGACGCUAAUACCGCAUACGUCCUACGGGAGAAAGCGGGGGAUCUUCGGACCUCGCGCCAUUAGAUGAGCCUAGGUCGGAUUAGCUAGUUGGUGAGGUAAUGGCUCACCAAGGCGACGAUCCGUAACUGGUCUGGGAGGAUGAUCAGUCACACUGGAACUGAGACACGGUCCAGACUCCUACGGGAGGCAGCAGUGGGGAAUAUUGGACAAUGGGCGAAAGCCUGAUCCAGCAUGCCGCGUGUGUGAAGAAGGUCUUCGGAUUGUAAGCACUUUAAGUUGGGAGGAAGGGUAGUAACCUAAUUAACGUUGUCGUACUUUGACGUUACCGACAGAAUAAGCACCGGCUAACUUCGUGCCAGCAGCCGACGG
RNAcentral lists this ribosomal RNA (503 nucleotides) under uncultured bacterium. Its description in RNAcentral is "bacterial SSU rRNA". It matches the Rfam family "Bacterial small subunit ribosomal RNA", at positions 30 to 520 of the family's 1533-position model. The record is from RNAcentral.